AUUGAACGCUGGCGGCAUGCUUUACACAAGCAAGUCGAACGGUAACGCGGGGCAACCUGGCGACGAGUGGCGAACGGGUGAGUAAUGCAUCGGAACGUGCCUGGUAGUGGGGGAUAACUGCUCGAAAGAGCAGCUAAUACCGCAUACGACCUGAGGGUGAAAGGGGGGGAUCGCAAGACCUCUCGCUAUCAGAGCGGCCGAUGUCGGAUUAGCUAGUUGGUGGGGUAAAGGCCCACCAAGGCGACGAUCCGUAGCUGGUCUGAGAGGACGACCAGCCACACUGGGACUGAGACACGGCCCAGACUCCUACGGGAGGCAGCAGUGGGGAAUUUUGGACAAUGGACGCAAGUCUGAUCCAGCCAUGCCGCGUGCGGGAAGAAGGCCUUCGGGUUGUAAACCGCUUUUGUCAGGGAAGAAAUCUUCUGGGCUAAUACCCUGGGAGGAUGACGGUACCUGAAGAAUAAGCACCGGCUAACUACGUGCCAGCCGCCGCCGUAA
This 498-nucleotide ribosomal RNA is filed under the name uncultured bacterium. RNAcentral describes it as "partial 16S ribosomal RNA". It matches the Rfam family "Bacterial small subunit ribosomal RNA", at positions 29 to 523 of the family's 1533-position model. The record is from RNAcentral.